CCGAGUUCUCGGGCUUCGGCUCGACUCUCCCACCCUUUGUGAACAUACCUCUGUUGCUUUGGCGGCCUCCGGGCCGCCAGAGGACUAUCAAACUCCAGUCAGUAAACGUUGACGUCUGAUAAACAAGUUAAUAAACUA
RNAcentral lists this unclassified non-coding RNA (138 nucleotides) under uncultured Pleosporales. RNAcentral describes it as "sequence contains ITS1". The record is from RNAcentral. Lineage: Eukaryota; Fungi; Ascomycota; Dothideomycetes; Pleosporales.